RNAcentral lists this ribosomal RNA (254 nucleotides) under uncultured bacterium. Its description in RNAcentral is "partial 16S ribosomal RNA". It matches the Rfam family "Bacterial small subunit ribosomal RNA", at positions 524 to 776 of the family's 1533-position model. The record is from RNAcentral.
UACGUAGGGUGCAAGCGUUGUCCGGAAUUAUUGGGCGUAAAGAGCUCGUAGGCGGUCUGUCGCGUCUGCUGUGAAAACUCAGGGCUUAACCCUGAGCUUGCAGUGGGUACGGGCAGACUAGAGUGCGGUAGGGGAGACUGGAAUUCCUGGUGUAGCGGUGAAAUGCGCAGAUAUCAGGAGGAACACCGGUGGCGAAGGCGGGUCUCUGGGCCGAUACUGACGCUGGAGGAGCGAAAGCGUGGGGAGCAAACAGG